UGGCUCAGUGGUAGAGUGCCUGCCUUGCCUGCAUGAGGCCCUGGGUUCGAUUCUCAG
Molecule: transfer RNA, 57 nt
Filed under: Dipodomys ordii (Ord's kangaroo rat)
Lineage: Eukaryota; Metazoa; Chordata; Mammalia; Rodentia; Heteromyidae
Rfam family: tRNA
About the family: Transfer RNA (tRNA) molecules are approximately 80 nucleotides in length. Their secondary structure includes four short double-helical elements and three loops (D, anti-codon, and T loops).
Source: Rfam by way of RNAcentral